GAUUUAAGACAGGACUCUCUCCUAAAGCGAGGCAAAGGGAAUUAACUACCUACCUCGCAGGAGCACUGUAAGGGCACAUUUUAGGGGGAAGUGCUUUGGAAAUGGAAAUGUUCAUAAAAACAUCAGAUUUUAAAUAUAUGACUAAGCUGUGCCAGUCCCUGUGUAAGUUGUUCCUGGGUGACUGAGCUGCUUCAGGACCUGUGUUAGCCUCUAUUGCUCCCCUCUUUUGCAGAAGAAAAAAGUAUUUUAGCUUUACUCACUCCCUUCCGGGGAGGCUGGUGUUCUGUAAGGAGAGGACUGCAGAAGCCUGAACCACCAGUUUCAACAGGCAAAUCUCAGGAGAUUUUCCAAAUCUUCAGUAGGGGAGACCUUCAGGACGUCAGGACCUGGUCUGGCUGCUGUUGUUUGCACAUAGUCUGUGGAGCUGGGACCUCCCUGGAGCUUCGCCAGAGCUCUGAACUCCCCCUCCUUGCCU
This 475-nucleotide long non-coding RNA is filed under the name Dromaius novaehollandiae (emu). RNAcentral describes it as "lncRNA (ENSDNVG00000000881.1)". The record is from RNAcentral. Lineage: Eukaryota; Metazoa; Chordata; Aves; Casuariiformes; Dromaiidae.